RNAcentral lists this ribosomal RNA (371 nucleotides) under uncultured bacterium. RNAcentral's name for it is "bacterial SSU rRNA". It matches the Rfam family "Bacterial small subunit ribosomal RNA", at positions 527 to 898 of the family's 1533-position model. The record is from RNAcentral.
GGAGGGUGCUAGCGUUGUUCGGAAUGACUGGGCGUAAAGGGCGCGUAGGCGGCCGGUUGCGUCGGAUGUGAAAGCCCGGGGCUCAACCCCGGAACGGCAUCCGAUACGGGCUGGCUUGAGACCGAGAGAGGUGAGUGGAAUACCCAGUGUAGAGGUGAAAUUCGUAGAUAUUGGGUGGAACACCGGUGGCGAAAGCGGCUCACUGGCUCGGUUCUGACGCUGAGGCGCGAAAGCGUGGGGAGCAAACAGGAUUAGAUACCCUGGUAGUCCACGCCCUAAACGAUGUGGGCUGGGCGUCGGGGGGCUUGCCCCUCGGUGCCGGAGCUAACGCGGUAAGCCCACCGCCUGGGGAGUACGGCCGCAAGGUUAAA